This 468-nucleotide ribosomal RNA is filed under the name uncultured bacterium. Its description in RNAcentral is "partial 16S ribosomal RNA". It matches the Rfam family "Bacterial small subunit ribosomal RNA", at positions 28 to 507 of the family's 1533-position model. The record is from RNAcentral.
GACGAACGCUGGCGGCGUGCUUAACACAUGCAAGUCGAACGGAAAGGCCCUGCUUUUGUGGGGUGCUCGAGUGGCGAAAGAGUGAGUAACACGUGAGAAACCUGCCCUUGACUUUGGGAUAACUUCAGGAAACUGGGGCUAAUAACGGAUAGGAGCUCCUGCUGCAUGGUGGGGGUUGGAAAGUUUCGGCGGUUGGGGAUGGACUCGCGGCUUAUCAGCUUGUUGGUGGGGUAGUGGCUUACCAAGGCUUUGACGGGUAGCCGGCCUGAGAGGGUGACCGGCCACAUUGGGACUGAGAUACGGCCCAGACUCCUACGGGAGGCAGCAGUGGGGAAUAUUGCACAAUGGGCGGAAGCCUGAUGCAGCAACGCCGCGUGCGGGAUGACGGCCUUCGGGUUGUAAACCGCUUUCGCCUGUGACGAAGCGUGAGUGACGGUAAUGGGUAAAGAAGCACCGGCUAACUACGUG